RNAcentral lists this ribosomal RNA (1434 nucleotides) under Lactiplantibacillus plantarum. Its description in RNAcentral is "bacterial SSU rRNA". It matches the Rfam family "Bacterial small subunit ribosomal RNA". The record is from RNAcentral. Lineage: Bacteria; Bacillati; Bacillota; Bacilli; Lactobacillales; Lactobacillaceae.
GUCGAACGAACUCUGGUAUUGAUUGGUGCUUGCAUCAUGAUUUACAUUUGAGUGAGUGGCGAACUGGUGAGUAACACGUGGGAAACCUGCCCAGAAGCGGGGGAUAACACCUGGAAACAGAUGCUAAUACCGCAUAACAACUUGGACCGCAUGGUCCGAGUUUGAAAGAUGGCUUCGGCUAUCACUUUUGGAUGGUCCCGCGGCGUAUUAGCUAGAUGGUGGGGUAACGGCUCACCAUGGCAAUGAUACGUAGCCGACCUGAGAGGGUAAUCGGCCACAUUGGGACUGAGACACGGCCCAAACUCCUACGGGAGGCAGCAGUAGGGAAUCUUCCACAAUGGACGAAAGUCUGAUGGAGCAACGCCGCGUGAGUGAAGAAGGGUUUCGGCUCGUAAAACUCUGUUGUUAAAGAAGAACAUAUCUGAGAGUAACUGUUCAGGUAUUGACGGUAUUUAACCAGAAAGCCACGGCUAACUACGUGCCAGCAGCCGCGGUAAUACGUAGGUGGCAAGCGUUGUCCGGAUUUAUUGGGCGUAAAGCGAGCGCAGGCGGUUUUUUAAGUCUGAUGUGAAAGCCUUCGGCUCAACCGAAGAAGUGCAUCGGAAACUGGGAAACUUGAGUGCAGAAGAGGACAGUGGAACUCCAUGUGUAGCGGUGAAAUGCGUAGAUAUAUGGAAGAACACCAGUGGCGAAGGCGGCUGUCUGGUCUGUAACUGACGCUGAGGCUCGAAAGUAUGGGUAGCAAACAGGAUUAGAUACCCUGGUAGUCCAUACCGUAAACGAUGAAUGCUAAGUGUUGGAGGGUUUCCGCCCUUCAGUGCUGCAGCUAACGCAUUAAGCAUUCCGCCUGGGGAGUACGGCCGCAAGGCUGAAACUCAAAGGAAUUGACGGGGGCCCGCACAAGCGGUGGAGCAUGUGGUUUAAUUCGAAGCUACGCGAAGAACCUUACCAGGUCUUGACAUACUAUGCAAAUCUAAGAGAUUAGACGUUCCCUUCGGGGACAUGGAUACAGGUGGUGCAUGGUUGUCGUCAGCUCGUGUCGUGAGAUGUUGGGUUAAGUCCCGCAACGAGCGCAACCCUUAUUAUCAGUUGCCAGCAUUAAGUUGGGCACUCUGGUGAGACUGCCGGUGACAAACCGGAGGAAGGUGGGGAUGACGUCAAAUCAUCAUGCCCCUUAUGACCUGGGCUACACACGUGCUACAAUGGAUGGUACAACGAGUUGCGAACUCGCGAGAGUAAGCUAAUCUCUUAAAGCCAUUCUCAGUUCGGAUUGUAGGCUGCAACUCGCCUACAUGAAGUCGGAAUCGCUAGUAAUCGCGGAUCAGCAUGCCGCGGUGAAUACGUUCCCGGGCCUUGUACACACCGCCCGUCACACCAUGAGAGUUUGUAACACCCAAAGUCGGUGGGGUAACCUUUUAGGAACCAGCCGCCUAA